This is a long non-coding RNA of Myotis davidii, 125 nucleotides long. RefSeq lists it as uncharacterized. NCBI's taxonomy places the organism in Eukaryota, Metazoa, Chordata, Mammalia, Chiroptera, Vespertilionidae. The transcript has 3 exons. The record is from RefSeq and is a predicted model, not a curated record.
ACAGACGGACGUGAGCUUCGCCCACCCCCAGAGGACAGCGCCCAUGCCCGAGCCCCUGCAUCUGCCAGAUCACCUGCCCCCCGGCUCUGGUGAGAGAUUCUAUUGUGCCCAACACUCAGUCAACA